This 119-nucleotide ribosomal RNA is filed under the name Pteropus alecto (black flying fox). Lineage: Eukaryota; Metazoa; Chordata; Mammalia; Chiroptera; Pteropodidae. The record is from RNAcentral.
GUCUAUGCCCAUGCCACCCUGAAGGCACCAAAUUUCAUCUGAUCUCGGAAGCUAAGUAGGUUCAGGCCUGGUUAGUACUUGGAUGGGAGGCCUCUUUGGAAUAUCGGGUACUGUAGGCU